GAUGAACGCUGGCGGCGUGCCUAAUACAUGCAAGUAGAACGCUGAAGGAGGAGCUUGCUUCUCCGGAUGAGUUGCGAACGGGUGAGUAACGCGUAGGUAACCUGCCUGGUAGCGGGGGAUAACUAUUGGAAACGAUAGCUAAUACCGCAUAACAGUAGAUAUCGCAUGAUAUCUGCUUGAAAGGUGCAAUUGCAUCACUACCAGAUGGGCCUGCGUUGUAUUAGCUAGUUGGUGAGGUAACGGCUCACCAAGGCGACGAUACAUAGCCGACCUGAGAGGGUGAUCGGCCACACUGGGACUGAGACACGGCCCAGACUCCUACGGGAGGCAGCAGUAGGGAAUCUUCGGCAAUGGACGGAAGUCUGACCGAGCAACGCCGCGUGAGUGAAGAAGGGUUUCGGAUCGUAAAGCUCUGUUGUAAGAGAAGAACGAGUGUGAGAGUGGAAAGUUCACACUGUGACGGUAUCUUACCAGAAAGGGACGGCUAACUACGUG
RNAcentral lists this ribosomal RNA (495 nucleotides) under uncultured bacterium. Its description in RNAcentral is "partial 16S ribosomal RNA". It matches the Rfam family "Bacterial small subunit ribosomal RNA", at positions 28 to 507 of the family's 1533-position model. The record is from RNAcentral.